Molecule: ribosomal RNA, 463 nt
Filed under: uncultured bacterium
Lineage: Bacteria
Description: partial 16S ribosomal RNA
Rfam family: Bacterial small subunit ribosomal RNA
Source: RNAcentral
GAUGAACGCUGACAGAAUGCUUAACACAUGCAAGUCUUUGGCGAAGCUGUGCUUGCACAGCCUAGCCAAGGCGGACGGGUGAGUAACGCGUAAGGAACUUGCCCUGCAGUCAGGGAUAACAGACGGAAACGACUGAUAAGACCUGGUAAAGUCAGGCGGACUCAUGUCCAGCCUGAUGAAAAGAGAUGCUGCAGGAGAGCCUUGCGUCCUAUUAGCUUGUUGGUGGGGUAACGGCCCACCAAGGCGAUGAUAGGUAGCCGGCCUGAGAGGGUGGACGGCCACAAGGGGACUGAGAUACGGCCCUUACACCUACGGGAGGCAGCAGUGGGGAAUAUUGGACAAUGGGGGCAACCCUGAUCCAGCAAUUCUGUGUGCACGAUGAAGGUUUUCGGAUUGUAAAGUGCUUUCAGCAGGGAAGAAAAAAAUGACGGUACCUGCAGAAGAAGCGACGGCUAAAUACGUG